GGAGUACUCCCUCCAUCUGAAAAUACUUGUCAUCAAAAUGAAUAAAAAAAUGAAUAAAAAAGGAUGUAUCUAGCUACUACUAGAUACAUCCCUUUUUAUUCAUUUUGAUGACAAGUAUUUUCGAACGGAGGGAGUAAUUA
This is a non-coding RNA of Triticum aestivum (bread wheat), 140 nucleotides long. The record is from Rfam. NCBI's taxonomy places the organism in Eukaryota, Viridiplantae, Streptophyta, Magnoliopsida, Poales, Poaceae.